UCGACUUGGAGGUUGUGCCCUUGAGGUGUGGCUUCCGGAGCUAACGCGUUAAGUCGACCGCCUGGGGAGUACGGCCGCAAGGUUAAAACUCAAAUGAAUUGACGGGGGCCCGCACAAGCGGUGGAGCAUGUGGUUUAAUUCGAUGCAACGCGAAGAACCUUACCUGGUCUUGACAUCCACGGAAGUUUUCAGAGAUGAGAAUGUGCCUUCGGGAACCGUGAGACAGGUGCUGCAUGGCUGUCGUCAGCUCGUGUUGUGAAAUGUUGGGUUAAGUCCCGCAACGAGCGCAACCCUUAUCCUUUGUUGCCAGCGGUCCGGCCGGGAACUCAAAGGAGACUGCCAGUGAUAAACUGGAGGAAGGUGGGGAUGACGUCAAGUCAUCAUGGCCCUUACGACCAGGGCUACACACGUGCUACAAUGGCGCAUACAAAGAGAAGCGACCUCGCGAGAGCAAGCGGACCUCAUAAAGUGCGUCGUAGUCCGGAUUGGAGUCUGCAACUCGACUCCAUGAAGUCGGAAUCGCUAGUAAUCGUGGAUCAGAAUGCCACGGUGAAUACGUUCCCGGGCCUUGUACACACCGCCCGUCACACCAUGGGAGUGGGUUGCAAAAGAAGUAGGUAGCUUAACCUUCGGGAGGGCGCUUACCACUUUGUGAUUCAUGACUGGGGUGAAGUCGUAACAAGGUAACCGUAGGGGAACCUGCGGUUGGAUCACCUCCUUACCUUAAAGAAGC
This 733-nucleotide ribosomal RNA is filed under the name Shigella flexneri. RNAcentral describes it as "bacterial SSU rRNA". It matches the Rfam family "Bacterial small subunit ribosomal RNA", at positions 812 to 1533 of the family's 1533-position model. The record is from RNAcentral. Lineage: Bacteria; Pseudomonadati; Pseudomonadota; Gammaproteobacteria; Enterobacterales; Enterobacteriaceae.